AGAGCGAACGCUGGCGGCAGGCCUAACACAUGCAAGUCGAACGGACUCUUCGGAGUUAGUGGCGGACGGGUGAGUAACACGUGGGAACGUGCCUUUUGGUUCGGAAUAGCUCCUGGAAACGGGUGGUAAUGCCGAAUGUGCCCUUCGGGGGAAAGAUUUAUCGCCAUUAGAGCGGCCCGCGUCUGAUUAGCUGGUUGGUGAGGUAAAGGCUCACCAAGGCUACGACCAGUAGCUGGUCUGAGAGGAUGACCAGCCACAUUGGGACUGAGACACGGCCCAAACUCCUACGGGAGGCAGCAGUGGGAAUCUUGCGCAAUGGGCGAAAGCCUGACGCAGCCAUGCCGCGUGAAUGAUGAAGGUCUUAGGAUUGUAAAAUUCUUUCACCGGGGACGAUAAUGACGGUACCGGAGAAGAAGCCCGGCUAACUCGCGCCAGCAGCCGC
Molecule: ribosomal RNA, 442 nt
Filed under: uncultured soil bacterium
Lineage: Bacteria
Description: bacterial SSU rRNA
Rfam family: Bacterial small subunit ribosomal RNA
Source: RNAcentral